UCCCAUAUGGUCUAGUGGUUAGGAUUUGGCCCUUUCACCGCCAUGGCCAGGGUUCAAUUUCCGGUGUGGGAA
This 72-nucleotide transfer RNA is filed under the name Saccoglossus kowalevskii. Its description in RNAcentral is "tRNA-Glu". It matches the Rfam family "tRNA". Rfam says of the family: Transfer RNA (tRNA) molecules are approximately 80 nucleotides in length. Their secondary structure includes four short double-helical elements and three loops (D, anti-codon, and T loops). The record is from RNAcentral. Lineage: Eukaryota; Metazoa; Hemichordata; Enteropneusta; Harrimaniidae.